GGUUCAAUCACGACAACUCCUGUUCCUGGGAUGUUUCUUAACAUGUUCCCUUUAACGUCAGGGCAGUUGCCUCUUGGAACUCUUCCUAUCAUGCCUGUUCAAGCAAUGACUCAGCAGGCAACUAGACAUGCUCGAUGGGUUUAUGUUGGAGGAUUACCCCCAGAGCUAAUGAGCAG
Spinacia oleracea (spinach) is the source of this 176-nucleotide long non-coding RNA. RefSeq lists it as uncharacterized. The transcript is spliced from 3 exons. The record is from RefSeq and is a predicted model, not a curated record. NCBI's taxonomy places the organism in Eukaryota, Viridiplantae, Streptophyta, Magnoliopsida, Caryophyllales, Amaranthaceae.